GCUGGGUGUGGUAGCUCAUGCCUGUAAUCCAGCACUUUGGGAGGCUGAGGCAGGAGGAUCGCUUGAGCCCAGGAGUUCAAGACUAGCCUGGGCAACAUAGUGAGACCCGGUCUCUC
This is an unclassified non-coding RNA of Pongo abelii (Sumatran orangutan), 116 nucleotides long. It matches the Rfam family "Metazoan signal recognition particle RNA". From Rfam's summary of the family: The signal recognition particle (SRP) is a universally conserved ribonucleoprotein. It is involved in the co-translational targeting of proteins to membranes. The record is from Ensembl. NCBI's taxonomy places the organism in Eukaryota, Metazoa, Chordata, Mammalia, Primates, Hominidae.